Molecule: transfer RNA, 66 nt
Filed under: Ctenophorus caudicinctus macropus
Lineage: Eukaryota; Metazoa; Chordata; Lepidosauria; Squamata; Agamidae
Description: tRNA-Tyr
Source: RNAcentral
AUUGUAAGGUGGCUGAAUUAUAGGCGGUGGGUUGUAAUUCCAUUUAUGGGUUAGUCCCUCUUUACA